Molecule: ribosomal RNA, 446 nt
Filed under: uncultured bacterium
Lineage: Bacteria
Description: partial 16S ribosomal RNA
Rfam family: Bacterial small subunit ribosomal RNA
Source: RNAcentral
CCAGACUCCUACGGGAGGCAGCAGUGAGGGAUAUUGGGCAAUGGGGGAAACCCUGACCCAGCGACGCCGCGUGAGGGAAGACGGUCUUCGGAUUGUAAACCUCUGUCUUUGGGGACGAAAAAGGACGGUACCCAAGGAGGAAGCUCCGGCUAACUACGUGCCAGCAGCCGCGGUAAUACGUAGGGGGCAAGCGUUAUCCGGAUUUACUGGGUGUAAAGGGGGCGCAGACGGCAGCGCAAGCCAGGAGUGAAAGCCCGGGGCCCAACCCCGGGACUGCUCUUGGAACUGCGCGGCUGGAGUGCAGGAGGGGCAGGCGGAAUUCCUGGUGUAGCGGUGAAAUGCGUAGAUAUUAGGAGGAACACCAGUGGCGAAGGCGGCCUGCUGGACGAUGACUGACGUUGAGGCUCGAAAGCGUGGGGAGCAAACAGGAUUAGAUACCCCGGUAC